RNAcentral lists this small RNA (89 nucleotides) under Pseudomonas sp. 43mfcvi1.1. Lineage: Bacteria; Pseudomonadati; Pseudomonadota; Gammaproteobacteria; Pseudomonadales; Pseudomonadaceae. The record is from RNAcentral.
UGUGGGAGCGAGCCUGCUCGCGAUAGCGUUGUGUCAGUCGAUAAGAAUUUGUGCUGAUCGACGCUAUCGCGAGCAGGCUCGCUCUCACA